ACCAGCAGCUCCAACUCACGGACGCACCUUCUUAGCCAAGCCUGCUGGCCCCUGCCUCGCCUCAGCAAUGGAACGCACCCAGACACGGUGAGCCUGUAGCGCCCGACUCACGCAGGGUUUAACCACUGUUGGGUCCCAAUCUCUUGGGUCUCUCCGACAACCUUAUUGCCCCAAGCUUUGGUCACAGGCUCGCGCUACCGAGCCCGGC
Rhododendron vialii is the source of this 208-nucleotide long non-coding RNA. RefSeq lists it as uncharacterized. NCBI's taxonomy places the organism in Eukaryota, Viridiplantae, Streptophyta, Magnoliopsida, Ericales, Ericaceae. The transcript is spliced from 2 exons. The record is from RefSeq and is a predicted model, not a curated record.